RNAcentral lists this ribosomal RNA (188 nucleotides) under uncultured bacterium. Its description in RNAcentral is "partial 16S ribosomal RNA". It matches the Rfam family "Bacterial small subunit ribosomal RNA", at positions 1314 to 1500 of the family's 1533-position model. The record is from RNAcentral.
GCCUACAUGAAGUUGGAAUUGCUAGUAAUCGCAGAUCAGAAUGCUGCGGUGAAUACGUUCCCGGGCCUUGUACACACCGCCCGUCACACCAUGGGAGCCGGUAAUACCCGAAGUCGGUAGUCUAACCGCAAGGGGGACGCUGCCGAAGGUAGGAUUGGCCGACUGGGGUGAAGUCGUAACAAGGUAAC